UGUCGACACUGCACACACACUCACUCCUCUGGUCGGUGACCAACAAGCCUCUCCACGCUUCUUAGCCAGCGAAACGCUCCCCCAAACCGUUCCAAGAUGAACUUCCUCCGCGUGCUGUCAGUCCUGAUGGUUGUGGUGGUCCUGAUGGCCGGCGUCACGGAGGCGGGACCUCUCUUCCCCCGCAGGGGAAGAGGUGGCUCUGGCAGAAGACGCGGACCGCCCAAUGGCGUCAGCUCCAUUUACGGGGAUAUGUACGCCAACUUCCUCACCGGUAACUCCAUUACUCCCGGAGUCUUAAACCAUAUAUCCUUUGCCGGGCUGUGAGGAUGAAGUGCGGCUGUAGAAUGACGUACGAAAUUAAACAAGGUCGUGCGCCGCCUCCGAAGUCGACGAUCAGCGGCUGGAAAGCCUGACUUCUUGUCCAGCGGGACCUGACCUCUGGUCCGCUGAAGUCGAGAGGACGCCCAGCUGCGGGCCGCUGCAUACCUCGUCGCCGUGACGAGCGUCAGUGGUGGCCACACCAACAGGGCCUGCAAUAAUUCGCAACACAGGCAAGAAGUGUUACAGAGUCGGGAGAAAAGUCCACAGGUUGUCUCCCGCCUGGUGACGUAACGAGGCCUAGAGUGUGAAGCUGUUUGUGUGUUUUAUGGUAGAGUCAGAGAAGUCGCUCAUAGCGAGUCUUGCUUCGCUCAUCCCAUUGUUUCCAGUGACAGUGUAGAGCUGUGGUCACAUCAGCUGACAUUGUGGUGUACAUACUGCAUCAGUUAGUCCACACUAAGGAACUUUAGAUCCUUGGUCUACACCCGCCAGUCGGGCUCUAGUCGAUAGGUAGCAUCAAUAGUUUCUUUCAUCAUUUAGUUUUUUUUACUAUAUUUGACAAAUUUCUAUACUUCGUUAAACAAAUUUUUACAAUGAUAAUCACAUUUUUCGGCAUAACAGUGUUACAACACAAUCAUCGUGCAUUUUCUAUUUACUUUUUGCUUUUUGUAUGACAAGGGAACCUAUGUUUGUAAUAAAUUUGGUGCUAUUUUUUUUUUUUAAAUAAAUACAAUUCAUGGA
Molecule: long non-coding RNA, 1059 nt
Organism: Portunus trituberculatus (swimming crab)
Lineage: Eukaryota; Metazoa; Arthropoda; Malacostraca; Decapoda; Portunidae
Exons: 2
Source: RefSeq, a predicted model, not a curated record